This 3252-nucleotide long non-coding RNA is filed under the name Oryza sativa Indica Group (long-grained rice). RNAcentral's name for it is "lncRNA OsPr106_12g0008530". Lineage: Eukaryota; Viridiplantae; Streptophyta; Magnoliopsida; Poales; Poaceae. The record is from RNAcentral.
AUGGACGACUACGAGAUGGAUGAUCGCCACAUGGAUGGUCUGGAGGGCGACGAUGAUGAUCAGCCAUCUCCUGGCGAGGCCAACUUCUCCAUCGACGCCGACGCCACGACGAUGCCCACACCAAAUUCCGACAACCAGCCAUCUACCAGAAGAGCGGAGUGUUGGCGGCACUUCGAAGUAUUCACCGAGAUGGUUGAUGUAUACCUCAUGCUCAAUGCAAAUAUUGCGACAAAAUUUAAUUUUGUCUACAGCUACUUCUUCAGCGACAUGCCAUCUCAACCGGCAUUACUUGGCGCAUCUCAAGAACAAGGCGCCGGCGACAGACACAAUUGUCCUUCGGCCCUGACGGUUCACACCCACCAACUGUUCGAUGAAAUGUCAAGCCCAUUGGAGGUGUUUGAGGAAGACGUUCUUCUUGUCAUGAGUGAGGAGAACAUCACAUGGGAUGAAGCACUCCAUCUGUUACAAGAGGAACUGAAGGAUACCCAAUGUAGAUUUGAUGAGAAGCUAGAUCGUUUUUUGGAGGUGUUCGGCUUGAUGGGAGACAAGAGCAAUCAAUCUGAGGAAGACAAAAGGAGCAAUGAAUCUGAGGAAUUCAGUGCCUCCAUCAAGGAGCUCACCCCCACCACCGAGGCUGCUGCAUUUCAAUCACCCCAAGCAUCACCUUCUUCAGCGCCCACCAAGUGUUCGAUAAUUUGCUUUGGCCUCGACACCAUGUCUGACCUCAACAUGGCAGCAGCAGUUGUGUGCGCCACCACUUCUCUGGCCUCCAUGGAGUUAGUGGCUGGAGGGAACGCAACCUGUGAACCCUACGUUGACACCCCUGGUCAUCCCAAGGAGACGCAUGUCAAGUGUUCGAUGGUUGGCCUUGAGGUCAAGGGUGGCACCGACCACACCAGGGUCACAUGCCAGACCAUGAUGGGUGUGCCUGACGGCGUUCUAGUACCUGAUGCAUCAUCCAAGGUCUUCUCGCCAUGGUUGAUUGUUGAAAUGGACCUUGUUCCCUUGCUGCUCACUGUGUGUUCGAUGAAAUGUUCCAAAGACAAGAAGAAGCUGCUACUGGGGAAUGCUAAGAGAAAUUCAUGGACACCUUCUUGGGUGGGCGGAGUGAUUAGACGAUGGGAGUUGCAGCCUUUGCCAUGGCCUGGAUCCAAAUUAUAUUGGGAAGGUUUACCAUUGAUGCCCCCAUGGCCACCACAGACUCGAGUAAGCUUCCUGGCAUGUGAGACUUUUGAUAUUGGAGCUCUAGUCAUUGGAACAGUGAUUUUAACACAAGCGAUGGUUGAGAUAAAACCAUGGCCUCCACCAAGUGAAGUAAGUGGUCUUCCCUUACUUCCAAUUCAAAGUAUUGGAGCAUUUCAUACUGAGAGGAAAGUUACAGACUUGCAUUGGGCUGAGUUGAAAGCUUGGUCUCUGUUUGAUGAAAAUGGUACCAGCCACAUCCUAACAGAUGAGCCGUGUGAGCUUUACUUGGGUUGUGUAAUUUUCACUGCUGGAAACACUAGGAACCUUGAAAAGCUUGAGUUUAUAAGGUGGACCAAGUGGCAACAACAACUUUUUGCAGAAAGGGAUUAUCCUAAUAGUGCUGAAGGGAAUCAAUUAAUUGCUUGGAAUUUUAAGCAGUACAUUGAUGGAGGAGUGCUUUCCUUUGUUGCUAUAAAGUUGUCAAUCCAGCCAACAAACGUUGAGCAAAUCAGUCAGUACAUUGUUCAAUAUUCAAGUAUUGGGAGAGAAUUGGAUUUCUAUCAUAAAUUGCAUACACUUGCUCAAGUUAUUGGGAGAAAGGAUUCCUUACUUCAGCUAUCUGAACCCCAGUUAACAUCAUGUAAAGUUGGACAAAAUACUGAGAAGGGUGGAUGGUGUCUUAUCAUGGACAAGAGAUGCUCAGAUUUUUUCAAGCUUCUGGCAUUGUUAGAUGGGAAAUGGGAAGCUAUCAGACAUGCAAUGGUUUAUCUUAUCACAAAGCUAAUUCACAUAUCACCAAGGAAUGCACCCUUUAGAUCAACAAUCAAUUAUCUGCUGGGAGGUAAUAAUCUUGUGGUUCUACACAAAUCAAUUGUUGGGAUCCACUUGGGAUGGUGGGUGUUUCCUUGUGACAUUGGAGUGAGACCCCUGGAAAAAUUGGUGAGGAGAUUAGCACACGUCAGCCCGCACGACAACUCCACCAUGCGGCCCCUCCCAUGGAACUCGUCGGCGGAGUGCAUGACCGACUGCGGGCACUUGGUCGCCUCCUCCUCCUCGGCGGACGGCGACUCGAAGGCGGCGGUGUCGAGGUCGUCGAGUUCCGCGAACACGCGCGUGCCUGUCUCGACGGCGCCGGCAAUCGGGCAGCGGAGUGGGCCGGCGCGCGACGUGUUGAGGAGGCCAAGGUCGAGGCCAGAGACCAUCCCCGAGAGGCGCCGGCCGCGUGCGGAAGGCCCCGAGAGUGACGCGGACGCCGCCAGGCGAGGCUCCUUCGCCGAGCGCGCCGGGGCCGCCCGCACCCCGCCGCCGGCGAGCCAGGAUCGGUGGGCGUCGAGGGAGAGAAAGAGGGCGGAGUCGGCGCGGGUGGGAGGCGUGAUCUGGGCGGCGGAUGGGAGGGAGGUGCACAAGAGAGGCGCGAUUUGGAGCAGUUUUUCAUUUGCUGUAACAUCGGGCAUCUGGACAUCCCAACACCAAAGAACAUCUUACCUUAGUGUUGUUCUUCAUUAUCUUGACAACAAUCAGUCGUUAAAUAAGAGUCAUAGGAUUCAAACUCAUGGUGUCACACACGAGAUAUGCCAUAGCCACGACAAUCCUAGAGGCAUGAUUGUUCUGGAUAAAUUGUUAAACAAAAUUCGUCGUUCUGUUCGUAUCAUAGGAGGUAAUACAGUGGUCAAAGCGAGGUUCCAGGACUACUGUAAAGCGAAGAAGAAACCUGGACGGAUGUUUGGCAUUGAUGUCGAAUAUAGGUGGAAUACAACAUACCUGUUGCUGCGACAGUUAAAAGGUGGGGUUGAUUAUUCUGAAGCUUUUCAACAUGUCAAUGAUAAGCUCUAUAGGGUUUUCUGUCUAUACCAAACCAAGCUUGGUGGUACUCCCCGAGUUCCCAAGCAGACCUCACAAAAGAAAGCAAGCAAGUCAAGUGCAGUAAAUUUGUGGAAGCAGUAUAUAGGCAACGACCAAGCCUCUUCAUCCUCAGAGAACAAAUCAACAUGGAACCCAAAUUUAGAGCUUAACCACUACCUCGUCACCAAUCAUACUGAGCAUGAUAUGACGCUUGAUGGCGACGAU